This 276-nucleotide ribosomal RNA is filed under the name uncultured prokaryote. RNAcentral describes it as "partial 16S ribosomal RNA". It matches the Rfam family "Bacterial small subunit ribosomal RNA", at positions 524 to 798 of the family's 1533-position model. The record is from RNAcentral.
UACGGAGGAUCCGAGCGUUAUCCGGAUUUAUUGGGUUUAAAGGGUGCGCAGGCGGGAGAUUAAGUCGGCGGUGAAAUUUUGCAGCUCAACUGUAAAAGUGCCUUCGAAACUGGUUUCCUUGAGUGUAGAUGAAGUAGGCGGAAUUUGUGGUGUAGCGGUGAAAUGCAUAGAUAUCACGAGGAACUCCGAUUGCGCAGGCAGCUUACUAAACUACUACUGACGCUCAGGCACGAAAGGCGUGGGGAUCAAACAGGAUUAGAUACCCGGGUAGUCCCU